Physeter macrocephalus (sperm whale) is the source of this 1516-nucleotide long non-coding RNA. RefSeq lists it as uncharacterized. The transcript has 3 exons. The record is from RefSeq and is a predicted model, not a curated record. Lineage: Eukaryota; Metazoa; Chordata; Mammalia; Artiodactyla; Physeteridae.
UCUCUACAUCCCUAUCGGGCUCAGCUGCAGUUCUCAAUGGAGAGUGACCUAGUCCUUUGGGGGUGGGGGGCAGGGUGAAGCUAAACAGGUGCCGUCCCUGGGAGAGGCUGUGACGCCGCAUACACAUGUGGUUCACAUCGGCUGCCAAGUUUUUGUUUUGGUCACCUCUCCCGCACAUUUUAAUCUGGAGACAAUUACAGUCCAUUCUGGGAAGGGAUAAAGGGGAUUAGCAUUUGUGAGGUCAGCUCCGACAGUGUCCCUGUGUGGGACAAUGGGCUCCUGACCUCGAUCAACUUCUCCGCUGGGUGAAGAGCAGGCUAUCUCGGCACACACUUCAGCGAGCUGGAAAAAGAAGGGAAGCGAGCCUCUGGACUCUUUAUCUCAGGAGAUUACUGAAGUCGGCGACGUGCCAGUUGAAUGAGGUUUUAUGAAUUGGUGGCUUCCCCCAGUUUUCUUGGAAGUGAGAGGGAAGGAAUAUCAUCAACGCUACCGGCAUCCGAAUAGGACUGAGGUCAUUUUGCAUUUAGCGGUUACGACGUGCUUUGCAAGUAUCAACUCUCACACCUCACAACCACUUUAUGGGUUAUGAUCGCCUUUUCCAGAUGGGGAGGCUGGAGCUCAGCAAGGUGGUCACUUGCCCAAGGCCACUCAGCUUUUUACGUAGGGGAGUUGGGGGAUCUGAGCCUCACAGCCCUUUCUUCACUGGGCGGCCUCUACCAGCUGCUGUCAUCUCAGUAACGAUGCACCCCAACACCUCUGAUGGCCCAGGAAAGACUUCAUUUAGCUACAGGACUUAGCUAAGUCCUAAUUCUGUUCCUGGAACCACGUGCCUCAAAAGCCCUCCCUCAGGAUACCAUAGCCAUACUCCAAGCCGGCCUUCUGCUUCUGUUUUCUCUUGUGACACUAAAAAGGAUGAUGCGCCCCACACCCAAGCCUCAGAGCUGCUUCGCCUCUUCAGUGCCGGUGACAUUCACCACACUGGAGCCAUUCGUACCUUUUGGCUGUGUGCUGGAUAUUGCUGUCCUUCAGAAACAUUUUACCUCUGAAAUCUCCAAUUUCAAAAUCCUACUCUAAGAGCAAAAAAUCCUAUCUUUACAACCCGUGCUGGGUGAAAUAUGGCCACGGCGGCAACUCCCAUCAGGAGAUGGAAUCUAUUUCCCUUCCUCUUGAAUGUGAGUGACUUCCUGGCCCAACCCAAAAGAACGUGGUGAAUGUGAUGCUGUGUGAGUUCCCGAACGAAGGCCUCCACAGGCCCUGCAGCUCUACCUUCAUGCUAUUGGAGCAACGUCAAGGCCGUCAUCUGAGGCCCGUCCAGCAGAAGAUGAGGAUUCAGUGAGGAAAACCGAGGCAGUCCGGCCGAUGGCCAUCACCAAAUGCCACAUAAUGUGAGGCCAUCUUGAACCUUCUAGGCCGGCCAACCAUCCAGCUGAAUGUUAUUUUAUGAGUGAACCGGCCGAAACCAGCUGAGGAAUCACCUAGCCAACCUACAGAAUCGUAAGAAAUAAUAAACUGUUGC